CAGCCGCCGCGGGAAUACAGAGGGUGCGAGCGUUAAUCGGAUUUACUGGGCGUAAAGCGUGCGUAGGCGGCUUCUUAAGUCGGAUGUGAAAUCCCUGAGCUUAACUUAGGAAUUGCAUUCGAUACUGGGAAGCUAGAGUAUGGGAGAGGAUGGUAGAAUUCCAGGUGUAGCGGUGAAAUGCGUAGAGAUCUGGAGGAAUACCGAUGGCGAAGGCAGCCAUCUGGCCUAAUACUGACGCUGAGGUACGAAAGCAUGGGGAGCAAACAGGAUUAGAUACCCCCGUAGUCCAUGUCUCUUAUAC
Molecule: ribosomal RNA, 301 nt
Filed under: uncultured bacterium
Lineage: Bacteria
Description: partial 16S ribosomal RNA
Rfam family: Bacterial small subunit ribosomal RNA
Source: RNAcentral